UACGUAGGGAGCAAGCGUUGUUCGGAUUUACUGGGCGUAAAGGGCGCGUAGGCGGCGCGGUAAGUCACUUGUGAAUUCUCUGAGCUUAACUCAGAACGGCCAAGUGAUACUGCAGUGCUAGAGUGCAGAAAGGGCAAUCGGAAUUCUUGGUGUAGCGGUGAAAUGCGUAGAUAUCAAGAGGAACACCUGAGGCGAAGGCGGGUUGCUAGGCUGACACUGACGCUGAGGCGCGAAAGCCAGGGGAGCGAACGGG
RNAcentral lists this ribosomal RNA (253 nucleotides) under uncultured bacterium. Its description in RNAcentral is "partial 16S ribosomal RNA". It matches the Rfam family "Bacterial small subunit ribosomal RNA", at positions 524 to 776 of the family's 1533-position model. The record is from RNAcentral.